AUUCUGUUGUUGAAGAAAUUCAGUGAAAGGAGACCAUGUUUUGGAGAAUUGGUCUAAUUUAUCAGCCAGAACAAGCCUAAUUUUUUCUAAAUGUAAUGUCUCGGUCAUUUCUGUGAUCCAUAUCUUCACUGUAGGGACUGUUAUCUUUUUCCAGAAUUCGAGUAUAAGUUUUUUCACAGUUAUUAAGCCGUAGUCAAGGAAACGUCUUUGGAAUGUCGUUAACUUAGAACAGCCCUCUGACAUUCCUAAAAUUAUUCGUUUUGCAUCUGACUCCAAUUGAAUGUUUUAGAGAUGAUAUCGAAUAUU
Molecule: long non-coding RNA, 306 nt
Organism: Amblyraja radiata (thorny skate)
Lineage: Eukaryota; Metazoa; Chordata; Chondrichthyes; Rajiformes; Rajidae
Exons: 4
Source: RefSeq, a predicted model, not a curated record